GGAAACGAGCCAUCUGGCAUAGACAUCUGCCAUAACAUUGACCUUCAGGGUAUCUUGGCUGCUCUGCCUGACCCGGCAGGUGCCUACAACUUUCUUCAUAACUCUUAGUUGUUCUUCCACAUUGGCCACCUUUUCUCAUAUAGAAGAGAGUGUUUUUAAUUAAGGUUAUAGGAACAUGAAUGUAACUUUUUAGAACCUCUAAAAUCAGAUUUAAAAGACCAUAAAAAGUGCAAUUAUUUUCACUUAUUUCCAGAAAAUUCACUAUAGAUAGUAAUUUUUCACU
Molecule: small nuclear RNA, 283 nt
Filed under: Myotis lucifugus (little brown bat)
Lineage: Eukaryota; Metazoa; Chordata; Mammalia; Chiroptera; Vespertilionidae
Description: 7SK RNA
Rfam family: 7SK RNA
About the family: 7SK was discovered as an abundant small nuclear RNA in the mid-70s but a possible function has only recently been suggested. Two independent studies have found that 7SK RNA binds the CDK9/cyclin T complex (known as elongation factor P-TEFb).
Source: Rfam by way of RNAcentral